CAAAUACAGACUCAUUCUCUCUGCUGAACUACAAUCAGAUUUCAGCAUUCAAUCUUUCUUCUUCCCAUUUAAUAACAAUCAUACUUCCAUUCCAUAAUUCACUUUCACAAUAUUUAGAAACUCUUAAUCUUCUUAUUCAAAGAAAAUAACAAACAAAAGAAAAGAGGUAGCACCAAGCUUACCCCGGCUCACACUAUCACAAUCUGGCCCCUACUUCCUCUCUCCCAUCCUCCUUAUG
RNAcentral lists this long non-coding RNA (238 nucleotides) under Physcomitrium patens. RNAcentral's name for it is "long non-coding RNA (PPAT_LNC014179)". The record is from RNAcentral. Lineage: Eukaryota; Viridiplantae; Streptophyta; Bryopsida; Funariales; Funariaceae.